UGUUAACUAAUUUUGUGGAUUUUUUGUAUGUUCGUUGAAAAAAUUCAGUUUUUCCAUAUUUACUGGUUUAAUUUAUGUGUCUAAAUUGCAAAAAAUGGAGUUUUCCCCUUCUAUUCUUGUUGCUUCUUGUCACUUGUUCACUCAGGAUUGUACCUUUUCCUAUUUUGCUCAAAGCAUGACCUUUUCUUGAGCCGAUUGUCUUUAUUUAUCUUUCUUUUGCUCUAUAUUUCUAAGCUUUUGUUACUUUUCCAACUAAUCUUAUGGGAUUUUGAAUGUAUUCAUAAUAAAAGAUUCAGUUUUUUAGUUACUCAUUUUCCUUCUUUUCUUUCUCAACCGGAUAUGUAUUAAUGUUUCCUUUUUUUUUCUUGUUUUGCAUGGAAAUUCCAUCCGGAGUCCAAAUGGGCUUCCUUUCCUUUGCAUUGUUAAUGGGUCAAUGAGGCCUCUCUUUUCGAGUCAAACUUCGAGGGAAAAUUUUCAAAAGUUCGACCUCGUGGCAUACCGAAACCAAGGAGUCGAAAGAAGAAGAAAUGGAUUAAAGUCCUACGUUCGAAGCGGCCAAGAGACUUGUCUCAUCUGUUAUUUUUAUUUUAGUUUAUUUAUUGUUGUCUUUCUUUAUUUUAUUUAUUUUUUCAUUUGGACCUCGAAGCCAAAGUUGUAUUUAAUACAGGUGAAGUGAAUACUCAAG
Molecule: long non-coding RNA, 685 nt
Filed under: Capsicum annuum
Lineage: Eukaryota; Viridiplantae; Streptophyta; Magnoliopsida; Solanales; Solanaceae
Description: long non-coding RNA (CANN_LNC005856)
Source: RNAcentral